RNAcentral lists this unclassified non-coding RNA (158 nucleotides) under soil metagenome. Its description in RNAcentral is "partial internal transcribed spacer 1". The record is from RNAcentral.
CAGAGUUUACAAACUCCCAAACCCCUGUGAACAUUACCUAUCUUGUUGCCUUCGGCAGGAUCAGGCCCCGGGGGCCCGUAACGCCGGAAGGCGCCUGCCGAGGGAUCAACUAAACUCUUGCUACUUAUUGUACUUCUGAGUAACUAUAAAAAGUAAUC